Molecule: ribosomal RNA, 774 nt
Filed under: Triticum aestivum (bread wheat)
Lineage: Eukaryota; Viridiplantae; Streptophyta; Magnoliopsida; Poales; Poaceae
Description: partial small subunit ribosomal RNA
Source: RNAcentral
AUGACAAGCCCCAGGCUGAAGCUCUUCGGCUUCCACUUCUCCUCGGCGGAGGAGAACCACACCACCAUGGACACGGCCGAGCACGAGGCGGCCGAGGCGGAGAAGGGCGGCUCCGACUCCUCCUCCUCGUCUACCACCACGACCACGGCCACGGCGGCGGCUGCGGCGGGCGGCGGGGGCGGCGAGGGGCGGAGGUACGAGUGCCAGUACUGCUGCCGCGAGUUCGCCAACUCGCAGGCGCUGGGCGGCCACCAGAACGCGCACAAGAAGGAGCGGCAGCAGCUCAAGCGCGCGCAGCUGCAGGCGGCCGCGGCCGCCGCGGGACGCGCGGCCGGGGGAGGCGCGCUGUACCAUCGGAGCGGCGGCAUGAACCCCAUGGUGUCCGCCUUCGCGCAGCCGCCACACCUCCUCGGCGGCGCCGGCGACGGCGGGACGGGGCCCACCAGCUGGGUCUACUUCUCCCCGCGCGCGGCCGCGGUGGCCGGGGGCGCCCAGGGCCAGCAGUUCCACGUCUCCCACGGCUGCGUCUUCCCCUCCGGCCGCGCCACCCCGGCCUCCGCCUCGCCGGCCGUGUUCUCCUACGCGCCGACGGCCUCCUCCGCGGCCCAGGCCGCCGCGGCGCCCUACGUCGUGCAGGCCGACGUGGUGGACCACCACGGCCGGAGGCUCCACGCCGCCAGCUUCCCGAGAUACCCCGGCAUGGUGAUGGCGCCGGAGCCGAUGGCCGCGGCGCCCGAGGACGCGCUGGGGCUGGACCUGCAGCUCAGCUUGUGA